ACGGCCAUACCAUGCUGAAUAUACCGGUUCUCGUUAGAUCACCUAAGCCAAGCAUCAUUGGGCGCGGCCAGUACUUGGG
Caerostris darwini is the source of this 79-nucleotide non-coding RNA. The record is from the annotation of a GenBank genome assembly. Lineage: Eukaryota; Metazoa; Arthropoda; Arachnida; Araneae; Araneidae.